RNAcentral lists this ribosomal RNA (126 nucleotides) under Neogale vison (American mink). The record is from RNAcentral. Lineage: Eukaryota; Metazoa; Chordata; Mammalia; Carnivora; Mustelidae.
GGCCAUACCACCCUGAACGCGCCCGAUCUCGUCUCAUCUCGGAAGCUAAGCAGGGUCGGGCCUGGUUAGUACUUGGAUGGGAGAAGCACAAAUAUUAAAAAAUUAAUGGCGAGUCACUCAGUGGCU